RNAcentral lists this transfer-messenger RNA (359 nucleotides) under Thiothrix sp. It matches the Rfam family "transfer-messenger RNA". From Rfam's summary of the family: Bacterial tmRNA, also known as 10Sa RNA or SsrA, is named for its dual tRNA and mRNA-like properties. Its role is to liberate the mRNA from a stalled ribosome. The record is from RNAcentral. RNAcentral also lists the same sequence under 1 other name. Lineage: Bacteria; Pseudomonadati; Pseudomonadota; Gammaproteobacteria; Thiotrichales; Thiotrichaceae.
GGGGGCGACAUGGCUUCGACGUGGAUUACAAAACCGGCGGUGCAUGCCGAGGCGACAGCGCAGCCUCGUAAACUAUCCAGCUGUACAGUUAUAGUUGCAAACGACGAUAACUACGCUCUAGCUGCUUAAACCAGCUAGCAUCUGACUGGCUCGUGCCUGGACGGUCAACUCAGGUGUAAUCUAAACAGGAUCGCGGUGCGGUACGUCUUAGGCCAAGUCGCUAAACCUUAAACUCAGACUCGCAAUUUGAAAUCCUGUUCGUCGGAGUUCAAGGCGCUAAAUUAAAAGACGAAACUAAGCAUGUAGUACCAAUGGCAGAGGGUUUGCGGACGCGGGUUCGAUUCCCGCCGCCUCCACCA